This 71-nucleotide transfer RNA is filed under the name Loxodonta africana (African savanna elephant). It matches the Rfam family "tRNA". From Rfam's summary of the family: Transfer RNA (tRNA) molecules are approximately 80 nucleotides in length. Their secondary structure includes four short double-helical elements and three loops (D, anti-codon, and T loops). Further hydrogen bonds mediate the characteristic L-shaped molecular structure. tRNAs have two regions of fundamental functional importance: the anti-codon, which is responsible for specific mRNA codon recognition, and the 3' end, to which the tRNAs corresponding amino acid is attached (by aminoacyl-tRNA synthetases). tRNAs cope with the degeneracy of the genetic code in two manners: having more than one tRNA (with a specific anti-codon) for a particular amino acid; and 'wobble' base-pairing, i.e. permitting non-standard base-pairing at the 3rd anti-codon position. The record is from Rfam by way of RNAcentral. Lineage: Eukaryota; Metazoa; Chordata; Mammalia; Proboscidea; Elephantidae.
GCAGUGGUGGUUCUAUGGUAGAAUUCUUACCUUUCAUGUAGGAGAACUAGGUUUGAUUCCAGGCCAGUGCA